Perkinsus chesapeaki is the source of this 70-nucleotide non-coding RNA. The record is from the annotation of a GenBank genome assembly. NCBI's taxonomy places the organism in Eukaryota, Perkinsozoa, Perkinsida, Perkinsidae.
UCCGUAGCUUAGUUCGUUGAGCAUAGUGUCUUUUAAACAUGUGACCCGGGUUCGAUACCUGGGUUAUCAU